This is a long non-coding RNA of Phacochoerus africanus (Common warthog), 400 nucleotides long. RefSeq lists it as uncharacterized. The transcript has 3 exons. The record is from RefSeq and is a predicted model, not a curated record. Lineage: Eukaryota; Metazoa; Chordata; Mammalia; Artiodactyla; Suidae.
GGGGCUGGGCCGGGGCCUCCGCCGCUGCUGGAGUUCGAAGGCGAGGCGGCCCAGUCCUCCUCGUCGGUGAGAAGAGCGCAGAACUGUACGGCGAAUACAAGCGGUUUUUUUUCUUAUCCUGUUUUUAAUUAGAAGCAAUAUGUGUUACAUUUUGAAAAACCAAGGGGAAAAGAGUAACUGGGAGAAGAAUAAGAACUAGACCUAGCUCCACACCGGUUCUUUGUGCUUGGAAUGUCACACAUUUCUUAACCUGCGACGUUAUCUCGGCCAAGGAUGACUUCCAGUGAUCUGGGAUAUGGCGAGACAAGAGGGCUCCAGGGAGCAUUUAGGAAACUUCGUGGUUCCAGCAUUUGUCUGAGGAUCUGUGUUGCACGUCACAUCAAUUUUUGUGCAUGGAGUG